Vigna unguiculata (cowpea) is the source of this 2212-nucleotide long non-coding RNA. NCBI's taxonomy places the organism in Eukaryota, Viridiplantae, Streptophyta, Magnoliopsida, Fabales, Fabaceae. The record is from RefSeq and is a predicted model, not a curated record.
ACCCAAAUUCAAUUCUAUUACGAUGAUGACGCUUCCCUUUUCUCAACGACAAUGAUGGCGCAUCCCUUUUCUUAACAACAAUGAUGGCGCUUCCUCUCUUUUUUCUCAAGGACGACGAUGGCACUUCCUUUUCUUCUCAAGGAUGAUGAUGACGACUCCCCUGUUCUCCAGAAUCAUGCCUUGCGACUUCGUCGUCACGAGCUUCGUUGUCACUGAUGCGCUUGAGCCCGACCAAUCAAUCUAUCAUUUACUUCAACGCCCUUUUUGAGAUGUUUACCGGUUACCGGGCAUAAAAACUGCUCAGUCACAACAGAUUAGUACCUCUAUCAAGAUUUGUCAUUAAGUUUAAGUUUAGGUUUUCGGUUCACAAUUCUCUCUCCCUCGAAACCCUAGGAAACCACGGUAGAAUUUUAAUGGAUGGUUGUUAAUGUGAUGCUCAUGGUACUGAAUGUUGCUGGUCGAUCAAAAUUGGAAUUUUGUUGCUUGAGGUUUGUGUUAAAUCUAUUCAUUAACUUGGUAAAUUAUGUGAAUGUUGUUAUCAAUGGUUGUAAUGCUUUACAUUGAGUGGUAGAGAAGUUAGAUAUCUGAAUUGUGUGUUUUUAUAAGUAUAUGGCUAACUUCUAGAGCUUUAAUUUAAUGUGUUGGAACGCUAUGCCAAAGAUGCCGAUUGAAACUCUUAGUUGGUGUAUUUUGAAUUGAAUAGUAGUUGUACAUGCAUUGCUUGUGUCCCUGGAGGUGAUGGUGAUGUCGUUGUUUCUCAUUCUGGUGGUAAUUUGUAGUGUGUAUGAGAAGGUAAGUAUCAAUUAUCAGUAGAGAAUCUUGUUCCAUGGUUCACUUAGAAUGUGAUAUUUCUUAUAGUAAGUUAAUAAGAUAUGUAGCUUUUCUUUCCCAUUUUAGAACAAAGAUGGUGCUGGUGAUUCUUCUUUUCCAGUUGUAAAAGAUUAAACUCAAUUUUCCGUUGCCAUGCACGUUACAGUGAGGUAUUGAGUUUAAUGACUUUUUGAUUUCUAAAUAAUUUACUAAUAUAAAUAUUUUUUACCCUUUUCAUCUAACUAUCUAUAUUUUAAUUUUUCUGUAGUAAAUUCAGCCUGUAUCACUUGUUAGUAUAAUGAUUGCUUAGUUCUUGUGGAACUUCGCGGCUUUCUCACUAAAUACUUUAUUGGCAAUACUACUAAUACAUCCAAGGCAUAAUUAGUUUUUGGUUUAUAUGAACUCUAUAGGUUGUAGUUAUGGAGAAUAUGUUGAUUUUUGCAGAGUAAUCUGAUAGCCAAAUGAAAUAUAUGCUAGGGUUCAAUUACCAAUAUGGGAGGUAGGAUAUGGAGAGGAAGGAAUAGAGAUUCCCUGGUGGGGCUAAAGAAAGGGCCACGGACACCGAAGGAAUAUCAGAAGCUCUUGGCAUAUAUUGAAGAACACGGCCAUUGAAGCUGGCGUGCUUUGCCAGCAAAAGCUGGACUUGAGAGGUGUGGCAAGAGCUGUAGAUUGAGAUGGACUAAUUAUCUAAGGCCUGAUAUUAAGAGGGGAAAGUUCAGUAUGCAAGAAGAACAAACCAUCAUUCAACUCCAUGCACUUAGGGAACAGGUGCAUAUGAAUGUUGUGUAGUGAUUAAAUCAAAUGAUGUGGCUAUUGCAAUAGUAGAGAAAGUGGCUAAGGGUGCUAUCACCAAACUUCUUGUUGGAGCUUUAUCAUGUAGCAUAUUUGAAAGGUGGUUAAAUUAUGAAGAUCCUUUGGUAAACCAAGGUGCAUAAGGUGCAUGGACUAAGGAAGAGGACAAGUCCCUUUUACUUAUUGUCCAAGAUAUGUGAUAAGGAACUGGUUCAAUAUUGCUUCAUCUUUAAGCACAUAUCAAGCAGGACUUCAUUUCAAUGAUUGUCACGAUUCCGAAAGGGCUUCAAUCAUUCCAUGCUAAAUAGUGAAUGGAAUGAGGAAGAAGAUGUUCAACUAUGUUCUGCGGUGACAUAUUUUGGUGAUAACAAUUGGCAGUGUGUGGCUUUUGUUUUAGAACGACAGAAGGGAACCUAGUGCUCAAAUAGGUUGGUUAACUAUUUAAAUUGUGUUUGUAGUUGGAGUUUGAAUAAGGGAGUUAAUUAUGUUGAUUAUAUACAUUUAUACAGUGUACUCAUGUAUAAAUUUGUGUCACAAACAAAUUCUUACUGAUUUAGUUUUUUUUUGAAUCACAAGGUGAAAUGUUAGAGCCAUGUUAAAUUUGUCACUA